CCAAUAGCGUAUAUUAAAGUUGCUGCAGUUAAAAAGCUCGUAGUUGAAUUUCGGGACCAAUAUGUCGGUCGUGCCUCGGUACGUACUGGCAUCGUUGGUUUCUCCUUUCUGAAGAACCAUGAUGUCAUUUAUUUGGUGUCGUGGGGAAUCAGGACUGUUACUUUGAAAAAAUUAGAGUGUUUAAAGCAGGCUCACGCUUGAAUACAUUAGCAUGGAAUAAUGAAAUAGGACGUUUGAUUCUAUUUUGUUGGUUUCUAGGAUCGACGUAAUGAUUAAUAGGGAUAGUUGGGGGCAUUAGUAUUCAAUUGUCAGAGGUGAAAUUCUUGGAUUUAUUGAAGACUAACUACUGCGAAAGCAUUUGCCAAGGAUGUUUUCAUUAAUCAAGAACGAAAGUUAGGGGGUCGAAGACGAUCAGAUACCGUCGUAGUCUUAACCAUAAACUAUGCCGACUAGGGAUCGGAUGAUGUUAAUUUUUUAAUGACUCAUUCGGCGCCUUACG
RNAcentral lists this ribosomal RNA (499 nucleotides) under uncultured Glomeromycotina. Its description in RNAcentral is "partial small subunit ribosomal RNA". It matches the Rfam family "Eukaryotic small subunit ribosomal RNA", at positions 591 to 1092 of the family's 1831-position model. The record is from RNAcentral. Lineage: Eukaryota; Fungi; Glomeromycota.